This 492-nucleotide ribosomal RNA is filed under the name uncultured bacterium. Its description in RNAcentral is "partial 16S ribosomal RNA". It matches the Rfam family "Bacterial small subunit ribosomal RNA", at positions 29 to 507 of the family's 1533-position model. The record is from RNAcentral.
AGUGAACGCUGGCGGUAGGCCUAACACAUGCAAGUCGAACGGCAGCACAGUAAGAGCUUGCUCUUACGGGUGGCGAGUGGCGGACGGGUGAGGAAUACAUCGGAAUCUACUUUUUCGUGGGGGAUAACGUAGGGAAACUUACGCUAAUACCGCAUACGACCUACGGGUGAAAGCAGGGGAUCUUCGGACCUUGCGCGAUUGAAUGAGCCGAGGUCGGAUUAGCUAGUUGGCGGGGUAAAGGCACACCAAGGCGACGAUCCGUAGCUGGUCUGAGAGGAUGAUCAGCCACACUGGAACUGAGACACGGUCCAGACUCCUACGGGAGGCAGCAGUGGGGAAUAUUGGACAAUGGGCGCAAGCCUGAUCCAGCCAUACCGCGUGAGUGAAGAAGGCCUUCGGGUUGUAAAGCCCUUUUGUUGGGAAAGAAAAGCAGCAGGUUAAUACCCCGCUGUUCUGACGGUACCCAAAGAAUAAGCAACGGCUAACUUCGUG